CAAGUCGAGCGGUAGCACAGAGAGCUUGCUCUCGGGUGACGAGCGGCGGACGGGUGAGUAAUGUCUGGGAAACUGCCUGAUGGAGGGGGAUAACUACUGGAAACGGUAGCUAAUACCGCAUAACGUCGCAAGACCAAAGUGGGGGACCUUCGGGCCUCAUGCCAUCAGAUGUGCCCAGAUGGGAUUAGCUAGUAGGUGGGGUAAUGGCUCACCUAGGCGACGAUCCCUAGCUGGUCUGAGAGGAUGACCAGCCACACUGGAACUGAGACACGGUCCAGACUCCUACGGGAGGCAGCAGUGGGGAAUAUUGCACAAUGGGCGCAAGCCUGAUGCAGCCAUGCCGCGUGUAUGAAGAAGGCCUUCGGGUUGUAAAGUACUUUCAGCGAGGAGGAAGGCAUUAAGGUUAAUAACCUUGGUGAUUGACGUUACUCGCAGAAGAAGCACCGGCUAACUCCGUGCCAGCAGCCGCGGUAAUACGGAGGGUGCAAGCGUUAAUCGGAAUUACUGGGCGUAAAGCGCACGCAGGCGGUCUGUCAAGUCGGAUGUGAAAUCCCCGGGCUCAACCUGGGAACUGCAUUCGAAACUGGCAGGCUAGAGUCUUGUAGAGGGGGGUAGAAUUCCAGGUGUAGCGGUGAAAUGCGUAGAGAUCUGGAGGAAUACCGGUGGCGAAGGCGGCCCCCUGGACAAAGACUGACGCUCAGGUGCGAAAGCGUGGGGAGCAAACAGGAUUAGAUACCCUGGUAGUCCACGCCGUAAACGAUGUCGACUUGGAGGUUGUGCCCUUGAGGCGUGGCUUCCGGAGCUAACGCGUUAAGUCGACCGCCUGGGGAGUACGGCCGCAAGGUUAAAACUCAAAUGAAUUGACGGGGGCCCGCACAAGCGGUGGAGCAUGUGGUUUAAUUCGAUGCAACGCGAAGAACCUUACCUACUCUUGACAUCCAGAGAACUUAGCAGAGAUGCUUUGGUGCCUUCGGGAACUCUGAGACAGGUGCUGCAUGGCUGUCGUCAGCUCGUGUUGUGAAAUGUUGGGUUAAGUCCCGCAACGAGCGCAACCCUUAUCCUUUGUUGCCAGCGGUUCGGCCGGGAACUCAAAGGAGACUGCCAGUGAUAAACUGGAGGAAGGUGGGGAUGACGUCAAGUCAUCAUGGCCCUUACGAGUAGGGCUACACACGUGCUACAAUGGCAUAUACAAAGAGAAGCGACCUCGCGAGAGCAAGCGGACCUCAUAAAGUAUGUCGUAGUCCGGAUUGGAGUCUGCAACUCGACUCCAUGAAGUCGGAAUCGCUAGUAAUCGUAGAUCAGAAUGCUACGGUGAAUACGUUCCCGGGCCUUGUACACACCGCCCGUCACACCAUGGGAGUGGGUUGCAAAAGAAGUAGGUAGCUUAACCUUCGGGAGGGCGC
This 1403-nucleotide ribosomal RNA is filed under the name Klebsiella sp. Its description in RNAcentral is "bacterial SSU rRNA". It matches the Rfam family "Bacterial small subunit ribosomal RNA". Lineage: Bacteria; Pseudomonadati; Pseudomonadota; Gammaproteobacteria; Enterobacterales; Enterobacteriaceae. The record is from RNAcentral.